UAAGGAGGAGGCAAGCGUUAUAAGGAAUUAUUGGGCGUAAAGCGUCCGCAGGUGGCCCCUCAAGUCUGCCGUCAAAGGCCGCAGCUCAACUGCGGAAAGGCGGUGGAAACUGAUGGGCUAGAGUCCAGUAGGGGUAGCGUGAAUUUCCAGUGUAGCGGUGAAAUGCGUAGAGUUUGGGAAGAACAUCGGUGGCGCAAGCGCGGUACUGGGCUGGAACUGACACUCAGGGACGAAAGCUAGGGGAGCGAAAGGG
Molecule: ribosomal RNA, 253 nt
Filed under: uncultured bacterium
Lineage: Bacteria
Description: partial 16S ribosomal RNA
Rfam family: Bacterial small subunit ribosomal RNA
Source: RNAcentral